Cavia porcellus (domestic guinea pig) is the source of this 1630-nucleotide long non-coding RNA. RefSeq lists it as uncharacterized. The record is from RefSeq and is a predicted model, not a curated record. The transcript is spliced from 3 exons. NCBI's taxonomy places the organism in Eukaryota, Metazoa, Chordata, Mammalia, Rodentia, Caviidae.
AUUUGUGACUAAAGAGGGAAAAAGGGCUUAUUCAUGAAUCUCCAUCAAUGAUAAAAAUAACACAAAACAAAAAUGAUACAAUAGUUCUUAGCAAAACAAAAACAGUGAACAAGACAAAACUCUCUCUAUUAUUCCCCCCCCCCUCAAAUUCAUGUCAAAUAAGCCAACCACUUUGAGGAAAAUAACAGUCUAAAAUGAAUUAAUGUUCAACAACAUAAACAAGGUUUUAUGAAGUAAAAAACUGGUUCAUUGUGCUUGAGUGGAAGAAAUAAGUGCCUAUCAGUGUAUGUGACAAUGCUUUAUAAACUAUGAAGCAAGAGCAAAGACAACAAAAUAGCUGACAUCAAAUAGUUCUAAUGUACUUUGUAAAGACAACACAUGAAAGGAAAAUGUGCAAUACUACAUAGUAUUUGAUUUCCACUAGGAAGUCAUUUUUAGCUAUCUUAUAUAAUGACAGUGAUGGAAACAUUGCACUACAUGGCCUCUAAUGUGUAUUAAAAUAAAUUACUGCAGGCUGACUACUACUACUACUAAUGAUAAAUUAUUCCUAUUAUUUUGUUUAAGUAAAACAAUGUUAAGUAAGUCAGAAAAGGAUGUGAAUCAAGACUUGAAGAAUGAGAAUUCAGACAAGAUGGUAUUUUAGAAUUAAAAAAGACAUUAACAAAGGUCUAUUUCUACUUACAUAGGUAGAUAAAGCAAAAGAAAUAAAUCUGCACAUCUCAAUUAUCAAUUCAGAAGUAAAAGCUGCUUAAUUCACAACCAACAUGUCCUCCAGAAAGUGAGUGAAUAUAUAAAACGUGAUACAUUUAGACAAUGGAAUAUAUUCAACGAUGAAAUGUUUUGCAUUAAGUAAAAGUCAAUCUAAAAAGGUUUCACAUUAUAUGAUUCCACCUAUAAACCAUUUUGGAAAAGCCCAAAAUGUGGAGAAACCACUGAUAUAAAAAUAUCAGUGGUUUCAAGAGUUGGUGGAAGUAGGGGGAAAUAGACCACACAGAAGGCUCUAGGAGCCAUGAAAGUAGUCUUUAUGUUACAGCACUGUGUAAUAAUGAUGCAGAGAUGUAUAUUAUUAUACAUUUGUCUACACCCACAGAACGUACAACAUCAAGAGUGAAAUCUAAUGUAAAUCUGGACUUUGGAAAAUUAUGACGUUUCAUUGAACUUCUGGGAAUCUGCUAUAGUAAUGUACGUGUUGAUAUUCACCUUGAGCUCUCUAGUAUGUCUGUCAACAAUCUGUUGAACAUUGAGAUUUGCCUCUUUCUGAGAAGUUACAGAAAUAAUGUGUUCUUCUGCUGCUGCUGUCAUUUCUGCCCGGAGUUCCAAAAGUGCUCGACUAAGUGCCUAAAAAUUAAAACGGUCUCUGUGGAGUUCAGGCUGAACUCACUGUACGAGCCAGGCUGGCCUUGAACUCGGCCAUCCUCCUGACGCAGCCUCUCUCUGGGAUUACAGGUGUGCACUCCAUGCCAGCUCACAGUACUUACUCUUCACACGUAUCUUGUGCUCUACUUAGCUGGCCUGUUUCCCAAGGUGAAAACAUUAUGUAAGAGUCAUUAAGACUGUAUGGAUUAUUAUGUUUAGUAUCUUGCACACUGCCUAGUGCAAGCAGGUAAUAUAAAUAAAAUCAAAAUCUGAA